AAAUGACUAUUGUUAGCUACGGUGAAGAGAAACCAUUGGUGAACGGUCAUUCUGAUGUGGAUUAUGCAAAAAACCGUCGUGUAGUAUUGGUUUACUAAUUGGAUAAUUUUGAUGAACAAUAACUUAGUGCGUA
This 133-nucleotide small RNA is filed under the name fish gut metagenome. Its description in RNAcentral is "CpoB/ybgF ICR thermometer". The record is from RNAcentral.